UCUCCUCUCGUUCACAGCCAUCAAAUUCCCCAUCCCCAAAUCGGCCGAGCGAUUUCCUCCCGGCCUCUCGCCACCGCGAACCCAAGCAGCCGCAUCGAUGGCCCCCAAGGCGGAGAAGAAGCCGGCGGCGAAGAAGCCCGCGGAGGAGGAGCCCGCGACGGAGAAGGCGGGGAAGGCCCCGGCGGGGAAGAAGCCCAAGGCCGAGAAGCGGCUCCCCGCUGGCAAGUCCGCCGGCAAGGAGGGCGGCGAGGGCAAGAAGGGGAAGAAGAAGGCCAAGAAGUCGGUGGAGACGUACAAGAUCUACAUCUUCAAGGUGCUGAAGCAGGUGCACCCCGACAUCGGCAUCUCCUCCAAGGCCAUGUCCAUCAUGAACUCCUUCAUCAACGACAUCUUCGAGAAGCUCGCCGGCGAGGCAGCCAAGCUCGCGCGCUACAACAAGAAGCCCACCAUCACCUCCCGCGAGAUCCAGACCUCGGUGCGCCUCGUCCUCCCCGGCGAGCUCGCCAAACACGCCGUCUCCGAGGGCACCAAGGCCGUCACCAAGUUCACCUCGUCUUAGAAGCCCAAGGCCGAGAAGCGGCUCCCCGCUGGCAAGUCCGCCGGCAAGGAGGGCGGCGAGGGCAAGAAGGGGAAGAAGAAGGCCAAGAAGUCGGUGGAGACGUACAAGAUCUACAUCUUCAAGGUGCUGAAGCAGGUGCACCCCGACAUCGGCAUCUCCUCCAAGGCCAUGUCCAUCAUGAACUCCUUCAUCAACGACAUCUUCGAGAAGCUCGCCGGCGAGGCCGCCAAGCUCGCGCGCUACAACAAGAAGCCCACCAUCACCUCCCGCGAGAUCCAGACCUCGGUGCGCCUCGUCCUCCCCGGCGAGCUCGCCAAGCACGCCGUCUCCGAGGGCACCAAGGCCGUCACCAAGUUCACCUCGUCUUAGAUGCUAGGCUUUCCCCUCUGCUCUUUGUUGGCGUAAGGCUCCUGGUAGUGAUGCUAGUUUGCUCGGUUUGGCUGGUAGGAUGGUAUAGUUUGGUGCUGGUGGUUCCUGAUAAUGUUCUUUCUGUACGAAGUGAGAAGUGAAAUCUGUUAAUGUUAUCAGAUGCAAUAUUAAUGGUGCUUGUUUAACUCUUA
Panicum virgatum (switchgrass) is the source of this 1119-nucleotide RNA transcript. It is a transcript of the gene named histone H2B.3-like, with no coding region annotated. The transcript is spliced from 2 exons. The record is from RefSeq and is a predicted model, not a curated record. Lineage: Eukaryota; Viridiplantae; Streptophyta; Magnoliopsida; Poales; Poaceae.